GGCUCAGAGUCCAAGGCUGUCUCCCAAGGUCAGGGAGCAGGACUCAGGAGGUGGGAUUCAGGCCAGCUCCAGGACUGCACAGAGAUAACGUCGCCCAGGAGGCCUUGCCAGGCAGGCAUGAGGUGCUGUUGGGAAGACUGAAGCAACCCCAGCCUGGCACUUAGGCCCCCCGACUGCCUAGGGAGCCAGCGAGGGGCCGCCCCGGCAUGCGCUGGCCCCGGGCCCGGCGGGCCGACCUGAGCC
Long non-coding RNA from Octodon degus (degu), 243 nucleotides. RefSeq lists it as uncharacterized. The transcript has 3 exons. The record is from RefSeq and is a predicted model, not a curated record. NCBI's taxonomy places the organism in Eukaryota, Metazoa, Chordata, Mammalia, Rodentia, Octodontidae.